Molecule: ribosomal RNA, 421 nt
Filed under: uncultured bacterium
Lineage: Bacteria
Description: partial 16S ribosomal RNA
Rfam family: Bacterial small subunit ribosomal RNA
Source: RNAcentral
AGUAUUGGACAAUAGGGGAAACCCCCAUCCAGCGCUACCGCGCGUAUGAGGAGAGCCUUCGGGUUGUAAAGUACUUUUGGCAGAGGAGAAAAGGUAGCUGCUAAUACGAGAUACUGCUGACGGUAUCUGCAGAAUAAGCACCGGCCACUGAGGUGCCAGCAGCCGCGGUAAUACGUAGGUGGCAAGCGUGAAUCGGAAUUAUUGGUCGUAAAGAGGGUGUAGGCGGUUCGGAAAGAAAGAUGUGAAAACCCAGGGCUCAACCUUGGAAACGCAUUUUUAACAGCCGUGCUAGAGUAUGUCGGAGGAGGGUAGAAUUCCACGUGUAGCAGUGAAAUGCGUAGAUAUGUGGAGGAAUACCGAUGGCGAAGGCAGCCCCCUGGGAUAAUACUGACGCUCAGACACGAAAGCGUGGGGGGCAACC